GACGAACGCUGGCGGCGUGCUUAACACAUGCAAGUCGAACGCUGAAGCUUGGUGCUUGCACUGGGUGGAUGAGUGGCGAACGGGUGAGUAAUACGUGAGUAACCUGCACUUGACUCUGGGAUAAGCCUGGGAAACUGGGUCUAAUACUGGAUACGACAUGUCACCGCAUGGUGGUGUGUGGAAAGGGCUUUACUGGUUUUGGCUGGGCUCACGGCCUAUCAGCUUGUUGGUGGGGUAAUGGCUCACCAAGGCGACGACGGGUAGCCGGCCUGAGAGGGUGACCGGCCACACUGGGACUGAGACACGGCCCAGACUCCUACGGGAGGCAGCAGUAGGGAAUAUUGCACAAUGGGCGGAAGCCUGAUGCAGAGACGCCGCGUGAGGGAUGACGGCCUUCGGGUUGUAAACCUCUUUCAGCACGGAAGAAGCGAAAGUGACGGUACGUGCAGAAGGAGCGCCGGCUAGCUACGUG
Molecule: ribosomal RNA, 472 nt
Filed under: uncultured bacterium
Lineage: Bacteria
Description: partial 16S ribosomal RNA
Rfam family: Bacterial small subunit ribosomal RNA
Source: RNAcentral